UGGUCCAUCCUAAUCCCUGCUGAUCAGUCAGUGAUCUGCCAGGCUUCGCUUGUGGACCAGAGCAUCCUAGAAGCCCUGCCAGUUAAGCGAGGCCUUUUUAGGCUUGUGCCAGUGGCACUUCUGAACACAU
Arvicola amphibius (Eurasian water vole) is the source of this 130-nucleotide small nucleolar RNA. The record is from RefSeq and is a predicted model, not a curated record. Lineage: Eukaryota; Metazoa; Chordata; Mammalia; Rodentia; Cricetidae.